GACGAACGCUGGCGGCGUGCUUAACACAUGCAAGUCGAACGGAAAGGCCCUGCUUUUGUGGGGUGCUCGAGUGGCGAACGGGUGAGUAACACGUGAGUAACCUGCCCUUGACUUUGGGAUAACUUCAGGAAACUGGGGCUAAUACCGGAUAGGAGCUCCUGCUGCAUGGUGGGGGUUGGAAAGUUUCGGCGGUUGGGGAUGGACUCGCGGCUUAUCAGCUUGUUGGUGGGGUAGUGGCUUACCAAGGCUUUGACGGGUAGCCGGCCUGAGAGGGUGACCGGCCACAUUGGGACUGAGAUACGGGCCAGACUGCUACGGGAGGCAGCAGUGGGAAAUAUUGCGCAAUGGGCGGAGGCCUGAUGCAGCGACGCCGCGUGCGGGAGGACUGCCUUCGGGGUGUAAACCGCUUUCGCCUGUGACGAAGCGUGAGUGACGGUAAUGGGUAAAGAAGCACCGGCUAACUACGUG
Molecule: ribosomal RNA, 468 nt
Filed under: uncultured bacterium
Lineage: Bacteria
Description: partial 16S ribosomal RNA
Rfam family: Bacterial small subunit ribosomal RNA
Source: RNAcentral